GCACCCUUAGCUCAGCUGGAUAGAGCAUUCGCCUCCGAAGCGAAAGGCCGGUGGUUCGACUCCACUAGGGUGCACCA
This 77-nucleotide transfer RNA is filed under the name Pseudomonadota bacterium. RNAcentral's name for it is "Proteobacteria bacterium tRNA-Arg". It matches the Rfam family "tRNA". From Rfam's summary of the family: Transfer RNA (tRNA) molecules are approximately 80 nucleotides in length. Their secondary structure includes four short double-helical elements and three loops (D, anti-codon, and T loops). Lineage: Bacteria; Pseudomonadati; Pseudomonadota. RNAcentral also lists the same sequence under 1 other name. The record is from RNAcentral.